AUGAACCCUCCAGCUUGGUGGAUGUGCUGGAGUGAAUCAGAAAGGGCAAGUUUCCUGAAGGCCUGGGUCACCAGCGUGGAAAGCUGUGCCACAGCACGCGUGCCCCUCUGUCAGUCGGCACGAGGUCCCUGCAGGUGCCUGCUCUCUGUGCACCUGGGAACAGCAACUGCAAACCCGAGUGGGUGCCUGCCAGCACACAACAUCCCUCUCACGCGAAGUAAUGCCCUCCUCAUCCCGCAAAGAUGGCAUUUUAUGUGAAACCUCUGCUGUGUAGAGGUAGUUGCAGUGGUAUGCCUUCCCGUCAACGAGAGAGCAAAAUAACCUGUGUUUGGGUAAGGAACAAAGAUUUAUGGUAUAUAUUAAAAAUCACAUUCCUAAGAAAUGUAAUUAAACCAAAGCGUUUUUUUGUUUUGUUUUGUUUUGUUUUGUUUUGUUUUUCCUAACUUGCUUCAAUCUGAAGUGACUGCUCAGAGGCAGCAAAGAGAACAGAUACCCAAAUAACACUCCAGACCCUCUUCUCCAGCUACAGGAGUACACCCCUCCAUUUUCCUCUGCAUCUGAAAUGCCCCAAAAUGAAGGGAGGAUGUCCAGACAUCACACAGUACAGCAGAGCUCCAUUAAAGCCAAUGCAGUUCUUCCCAUUUACAGUAGUCAAAGGAUUCACCCCUAAUUUCUUUCUGCAGAAAAAUGUCCAAAGCAGAUUUCAGAUAUUUUUUGCAAAGCGGUGGAUAGGUAGCAGGUUAAUGUACUGCCUAGAGAUGCUCCCAUGAAUGACCAGGAGAGAAAAGGUCACCUCGCAGGUGUUGCCUAAUUUGCUAUUUCCUCUCUAAAUUGACUUUUGCACUUGUUUUUUUGCAGCGAACAUAGGUACCUCAUGGCACGACUGUAUUAUUCCUAAAAUGAGUUGCUAAUGCUUGAGAAAUACUGUUAACAAAAAGAGUAGUCAGGUAAAAUGCUUGUAAUUAUCACUAAAAUUAGUACCUUUUAAGGAGUGUGUUUACAUGACCCAUCAACAGAUCAGUUAAGUACUUUCAGUACAUUUUAUUUGUAUCUGGCAGAACAAUUUCCUUGCUGAAGUACACCGAUGAGUGGGAGAGACUGUAGUUAACAAAGUAAAUUAGAAAGAACAUGUUUGGGGAGUUUGUAUUUUUUCCCUCCUGUACUUUGUGUAAGGUUUGAAAAGAAAAGCAAGUUUCAAUCCCAAGUUCCAAAAUGCCUCACUUGCUGUACCCUAACUGCCCUUGUCUUUUAAAGCACAAGCCUCUACAGGUCUGAAACAGGGGGAGCUUAAACCAGAAAAGCAAAAAGUAAAAAAAAAGUAAAAGUAAAAAAAGUAAAAGAAAAAAAAGUAAAAAAAGAAAAAAAAAAGAAAAAAGUAAAAGAAAAGUAAAGUCCAGUGGGUUCCACAUUUUCACUACAGACUUUCCUGCAGUUUAUGAAGAUUUUGGGGUGGAGUGUUGGCUUUUUUACAAUUGAUGGUGAAAUGACCCUAGGCUUCAUAAGAGCACACGUUUAAUCUCAAAAUUUAUUUUUUUAAAAUAAAAAUAGCACAUUAGGGAAUGUAUGAGAUUUC
RNAcentral lists this long non-coding RNA (1573 nucleotides) under Anas platyrhynchos platyrhynchos (common mallard). RNAcentral describes it as "lncRNA (ENSAPLG00000019461.1)". The record is from RNAcentral. Lineage: Eukaryota; Metazoa; Chordata; Aves; Anseriformes; Anatidae.